AAAUAAGAAGUAAAAUUUUACAUAUUAAUUUCGACUUAAUAAUAGAUAAUAAAAAAUAUCCUUAUUUU
Molecule: transfer RNA, 68 nt
Filed under: Greenidea ficicola
Lineage: Eukaryota; Metazoa; Arthropoda; Insecta; Hemiptera; Aphididae
Also listed under: 1 other name
Description: tRNA-Arg
Source: RNAcentral